Long non-coding RNA from Girardinichthys multiradiatus, 896 nucleotides. RefSeq lists it as uncharacterized. The transcript has 3 exons. The record is from RefSeq and is a predicted model, not a curated record. Lineage: Eukaryota; Metazoa; Chordata; Actinopteri; Cyprinodontiformes; Goodeidae.
GCAUCAGCACAGAGGGACAUGAGCCAAGAGGGACUCGCGUCACAUGCACAGCUGGAGGAUUUUACAUUUCAACAUCGCUCUGAAGCAUUUGUGUUUAGGAAAAAAGAAGAACUUGGUCAGUCUGAUUGCAGUCCAAAGAUUUGACAGAAGAAGGAGUCAAAGACAGAGAAAGAAACAGGGUGGUCUUAUGCUUCACUAUGGGAAGAGACACAGAGCAGAUACAGUCCUGAGAACCAACAGAUGUGUAAAGAGUUUUAUACUGUCAAUACAGUUGGCAGACAGGAAAUGGGAUGAAGAGUGGAGAAGACAUUGGGCACAGGUUGCUGUGGCGGAGACUCCAACCAGGGAACAGCCGUGUCGAGGGCCAAAUACAUGGCCAGCAUGCUGUACCACUGCUCCAGCGCCAUGCAGUUCAUAAGAACUGAUAACAGAAUGUAGCAAAGUGCAUUUUUGUUGUUGUUGUUGUGAGGCAGGAAGAAAAUAAAUAUUAACGGCAAAAUGUUUAUAUUUUACAGUAUUUUAUAUUCUUUUAGGCUCCUUUUUUAAAAGAUGUUUGGGAGCCGACUUGGUCAAUGAAUGGAUAUAAAUGGUUCGGAUCUUGGCACCGUGGCGGAAUUCCCUGGCACUAAGCUGAUUCUGAAGAAGUGAAAGUGACGUUUCUAACGCUGGCCAGCAGAUGGAGCCAUUAUUCCGAAGACUCUUAUUAAAGUACACAGGGGAAGCUUUGUCAAUUUUAAUAGACAGUGGAAAGGACAUUGUAGACUUUCUCUUCACAUCUGCGAUAGACAAGCUAUAUUGUAUUGAAUUAUUUAUUUAUAUUGAUAUUCAUUUGAGAAUAAAACGUUUUGUUAAUUAACUGAAUUAUCAAAUAAGUAAUUACACUGGUUCCAACAUAU